Molecule: ribosomal RNA, 486 nt
Filed under: uncultured bacterium
Lineage: Bacteria
Description: partial 16S ribosomal RNA
Rfam family: Bacterial small subunit ribosomal RNA
Source: RNAcentral
AUUGAACGCUGGCGGCAUGCCUUACACAUGCAAGUCGAACGGCAGCACGGGUGCUUGCACCUGGUGGCGAGUGGCGAACGGGUGAGUAAUACAUCGGAACAUGUCCUGUAGUGGGGGAUAGCCCGGCGAAAGCCGGAUUAAUACCGCAUACGAUCUCCGGAUGAAAGCGGGGGACCUACGGGCCUCGCGCUAUAGGGUUGGCCGAUGGCUGAUUAGCUAGUUGGUGGGGUAAAGGCCUACCAAGGCGACGAUCAGUAGCUGGUCUGAGAGGACGACCAGCCACACUGGGACUGAGACACGGCCCAGACUCCUACGGGAGGCAGCAGUGGGGAAUUUUGGACAAUGGGCGAAAGCCUGAUCCAGCAAUGCCGCGUGUGUGAAGAAGGCCUUCGGGUUGUAAAGCACUUUUGUCCGGAAAGAAAUCCUUGGCCCUAAUACGGUCGGGGGAUGACGGUACCGGAAGAAUAAGCACCGGCUAACUACGUG